UGUGUAGGUGGCGCCGUAAGUCGGGUGUGAAAUCUCGGGGCUUAACUCCGAAACUGCAUUCGAUACUGCGGUGCUUGAGGACUGGAGAGGAGACUGGAAUUCAUGGUGUAGCAGUGAAAUGCGUAGAGAUCAUGAGGAAGACCAGUGGCGAAGGCGGGUCUCUGGACAGUUCCUGACACUGAGACACGAAGGCCAGGGGAGUAAACG
Molecule: ribosomal RNA, 207 nt
Filed under: uncultured bacterium
Lineage: Bacteria
Description: partial 16S ribosomal RNA
Rfam family: Bacterial small subunit ribosomal RNA
Source: RNAcentral